This 402-nucleotide ribosomal RNA is filed under the name uncultured bacterium. RNAcentral describes it as "bacterial SSU rRNA". It matches the Rfam family "Bacterial small subunit ribosomal RNA", at positions 116 to 518 of the family's 1533-position model. The record is from RNAcentral.
CGUAUGCAACCUGCCCCCAUCAGGGGAAUAGCCCGCCGAAAGGCGGAUUAAUGCCCCAUAGGCCCAGGGCGCCGCAUGGCGCUAUGGGUAAAGCUCCGGCGGAUGGGGAUGGGCAUGCGUGCCAUUAGCUAGUUGGGCGGUAACGGCGCACCAGGCGACGAUGGCUAGGGGUCUGAGAGGAUGGUCCCCCACACUGGUACUGAGACACGGACCAGACUCCUACGGGAGGCAGCAGUGAGGAAUAUUGGUCAAUGGCGGAAGCCUGAACCAGCCAUGCCCGCGUGCAGGAUGACGGCCCUACGGGUUGUAAACUGCUUUUCCCCGGGAAGAAUAACGCCCCUCGUGAGGGGUGAUGCCGGUACCGGGGGAAUAAGGAUCGGCUAACUCCGUGCCAGCAGCAGC